RNAcentral lists this ribosomal RNA (253 nucleotides) under uncultured bacterium. RNAcentral's name for it is "partial 16S ribosomal RNA". It matches the Rfam family "Bacterial small subunit ribosomal RNA", at positions 524 to 776 of the family's 1533-position model. The record is from RNAcentral.
UACAGAGGAUGCAAGCGUUAUCCGGAAUGAUUGGGCGUAAAGCGUCUGUAGGUGGCUUUUUAAGUCCGCCGUCAAAUCCCAGGGCUCAACUCUGGACAGGCGGUGGAAACUACCAAGCUGGAGUACGGGAGGGGAAGAGGGAAUUCCCGGUGUAGCGGUGAAAUGCGCAGAUAUCGGGAGGAACACCAAUGGCGAAGGCAGCUCGCUGGGACGUGACUGACGCUGAGACGCGAAAGCGUGGGGAGCAAACAGG